GCCGCCUGGCCAAGCGGUAUAGCGUGUCACAGUAUUAGGUGCCAUGACAAGAUUAGCGGUUCAAUUCCGCUAUUGAGCA
Non-coding RNA from Ustulina deusta, 79 nucleotides. The record is from the annotation of a GenBank genome assembly. Lineage: Eukaryota; Fungi; Ascomycota; Sordariomycetes; Xylariales; Xylariaceae.